GUGCUGCAUGGCUGUCGUCAGCUCGUGUCGUGAGAUGUUGGGUUAAGUCCCGCAACGAGCGCAACCCUCACUUUUAGUUGCCAUCAUUAAGUUUGGGCACUCUGAAAGAACUGCCAGUGAUAAGCUGGAGGAAGGUGGGGAUGACGUCAAGUCCUCAUGGCCCUUACGUGUUGGGCUACACACGUGCUACAAUGGCAUCUACAACAGGAAGCAAAACGGCAACGUUAAGCAAAUCCCGAAAAGAUGCCUCAGUUCGGAUUGCACUCUGCAACUCGAGUGCAUGAAGCUGGAAUUACUAGUAAUCGUGGAUCAGCGUGCCACGGUGAAUGCGUUCCCGGGUCUU
This 343-nucleotide ribosomal RNA is filed under the name uncultured marine bacterium pC2-8. RNAcentral describes it as "bacterial SSU rRNA". It matches the Rfam family "Bacterial small subunit ribosomal RNA", at positions 1038 to 1382 of the family's 1533-position model. Lineage: Bacteria; Pseudomonadati; Pseudomonadota; Alphaproteobacteria. The record is from RNAcentral.